This is a small nuclear RNA of Artibeus jamaicensis (Jamaican fruit-eating bat), 163 nucleotides long. RefSeq annotates it as U1 spliceosomal RNA. The record is from RefSeq and is a predicted model, not a curated record. The transcript has a single exon. Lineage: Eukaryota; Metazoa; Chordata; Mammalia; Chiroptera; Phyllostomidae.
AUACUUACCUGGCAGGGUGGAUUCCGUGACCAGGAAGGUGGUUUUCCCUGGGUGAGGUUUAGCUGCUGCACUCUGGAUGUUCUGGCCCCUGUGAGUUCCCAAAUGUGGGAAACUCCACUGGACAAUGUGUAGUAGUGGGCAACUGUGUUCCCACUAUCCCCUG